UCUAAUUUUUCAAAUAUUUUU
Molecule: non-coding RNA, 21 nt
Filed under: Caenorhabditis elegans
Lineage: Eukaryota; Metazoa; Nematoda; Chromadorea; Rhabditida; Rhabditidae
Source: RNAcentral